GGCUGGUCCAAAAGUAGCAAGCUAUCUCAACUGGUUGUUCCCACUCAGUUACAGAGUUACAGAUGCAACUCCUCGUUCUGCUUUCUCCUCCUUUCUCACCACUGUACUUGACUAGUCUUAA
RNAcentral lists this Y RNA (121 nucleotides) under Saimiri boliviensis boliviensis (Bolivian squirrel monkey). Its description in RNAcentral is "Y RNA (ENSSBOG00000011507.1)". It matches the Rfam family "Y RNA". From Rfam's summary of the family: Y RNAs are components of the Ro ribonucleoprotein particle (Ro RNP), in association with Ro60 and La proteins. The record is from Rfam by way of RNAcentral. Lineage: Eukaryota; Metazoa; Chordata; Mammalia; Primates; Cebidae.